Oryctolagus cuniculus (rabbit) is the source of this 5571-nucleotide non-coding RNA. The record is from RefSeq and is a predicted model, not a curated record. NCBI's taxonomy places the organism in Eukaryota, Metazoa, Chordata, Mammalia, Lagomorpha, Leporidae.
AGGCAAUAGGGUGUGUGACCCAGCUGAGAUUCAGGGGCAAGGAUUAUAUCGCAAUGUUUAUCGGUCUCUUGGGCAGUGAGCAAGAAUGGCUGAGGCUUCUGUCUUUGUUCCAUCACAUAAAAAGCUUGGGAUCAGGGAGGAAGGCGGCAUGAAAAAGGCAUCUGUGUGGAAAUUUCUGAAGUGGAUCCUCCCAAGACAGAGCUGCACUGGCCAAUCCCUGCUUCGUGCGUCAUUGGGCUGCACCGAACCAAGGGAACGAAUGAGGUUUGUUAGUGCCGGGCAACCCCAUGACAAGGAAAAGAAGGCAGCGAGCUCAGAGCGAAGCGGUGCUACGUGAAUCAUUGACAUCUCAAACAAACUUGAGUUCUGUGCCCACUCUCUUUAACGCCACCCCUUGUCUCGGCAGAGCAGCACUGCCCGGGCCCCGUUACCUCCUCCCUCGCCUUCUACAUCAUCUUGGGGUGCAGAGGCUGCUGUCCGGGCUGCUUUGGGAGCCACAGCGACUACACGUCAGUGUUUAUGGGUUCAGGGUAGACAGAACAGCCAGUUGGAAACAGCAGCAGGAAAGUCCCUUGGCUGAAAAAUAUACCCCCCACUGGCCUGUGGUAAAUGCCUGAGAUUCCACCAUUAGCAAUGCAUUCCUUUGGCUAUGUCACACCAUUCUGGGGCCACAAUUUUAAAGUGAAAAUGCCCCUCUGGGGAGUCACGUGUGAAGGCCCUGACAUUUUGGACAAAUGAAUGUUUCAGAUGGUUUCUGGGAGAAGAGGUGAGCGCUGGCUGCCUCACUGGUGGCAGUGUGGCUGCGGUUGGGAGAGGAGCAUGGAACGGGUGGGGGCCUGGAGGGCUGUGGGAAAAUUUGGACAGCUGAGUCAUCGCGAUGCUUUGAAAGCCUGGCGUUGAAGGUUUGACCCCGCCCCCCCAUUCCAACAAGAGGUGCGAAGUGCAGCCCAUCUGAGACCACCUGCCCGCCAUCCCCAGUAAGUAAGUAAAGCUUCCAGAACAAUCCAUCCACCCACCUGCUACCACGGACAGACCUGCCUCUAGGCCCCGCCCACUGCCUGAUUCCCAAAUUGUGAAGUGUAGCAAAAAGGUGCAAAAAUAGCUAACUGUUCCAGGCGCUUCUGGGAACUGGGGGUGGGGGCGAGCUGGGGCUGGAGUCCUGGGCAGCAAGAGGCUGCUUUACCAGGAAGCGAAUCCCUGGAGGCCCAGGAGAGCAGGGCGUGCCUGCACGUGAGCCUGUGUCACCUGUGUGCCAGCCCGCAGAGCCCCCUGCACGCCCAGGGCUGCCGGGGGACGCGGGAGGGACUCCACCUGCUCUUGCUUUCCUGGAGAGGGCGCUGAGCUUCCGGCCACAAGGCGACUGGCCUCUCACAGCCACAGGGCUGGCUCUUGGACCCGUACAGAAGCCGGGGGCCGCGGUGGGGUGGGGAUGUACAGAAAGCAUGGGUGGGAGUUCAAAAGCCAGGAAGGCCUGGUUUCAAAACUGUGUCCCCGAAAGGAAGAGGGGUGGGAGGGCAGGUACAGUGGGAAGAAUUACUGUGCUCCUAAUGUUGUAUUUAUGAGAUACACCCAAAUACAUACAUGCAUACAUACAUACAUACAAACAUACGUAAACUGUGUCCACAGUCCCCAGGGUGCUUCCCCUGUCUCAGGCCCAAUGCAGGGGGUGAGCAGCGCAAGGCAGCUGGGCCACUCACUGGCUGAGCCCCACCUAGAGGCCUGUCACAAGGUAAUUUUUUUUUUUAAUUUAUUUGAAAGGCAGAGUUACAGAGAGGCAGAGAGAGAGAGGGAGAGAGAGAGAGAGAGGUCUUCCAUUCGCUGGUUCACUCCUUAGAUGACCACAAUGGCCGGAACUGCGUUGAUCUGGAGCCAGGAGCCAGGAGCUUCUUCCAGGUCUCCCACGCAGGUGCAGGGGCCCAAGGACUUGGGCCAUCUACUGCUUUUCCAGGCCACAACAGAGAGCUGUAUGGGAAGUGGAGCAGUUGGGACUCGAACUAGCGUCCUUAUGGGAUGCUGGCACUGCAGGCGGCGGCUCCACCGUUACGCCACAGCACUGGCUCCGUCAGGCAAUCUUUUCACUCACAGCUGAGCAAGUUCUGUUAGCACAUCGCUGUCGUUGUGGACAAGCAGAGAGAGAGGAGCUGGGAGUUUGAGAACACCACGGACAGAGACUUUGCAGCCCCACAGCAGGUACCUGCCGCACAGGUGCACCCCACAUCCCCCCUUCCCUUGCUCCCCCCAACCCUUCCUUUCAAUUCUCACCAAGUUUGGGCACCUGCAGAAGUAGUCCCUGAGAACAAAAUUGGAGCAAUUUGGGAGGAGAUACAGUGGAGUGGAGGAGGGGAGAAGGGGAAGGAUGAGGAGCUGGGAGCACUCAGGGGACACCCGGCUGCAGAAUCACCCUUUCAGCUCUGCCUCUUUCCCUCUGUGCAUCUCAUGACCUCGGGGCCUGCAGUCCUGUCCCCUGCCACGUGGUGUAAACCAUCCCUGGCCCUGUGCUCAGAGCAGCUGGCCCAGGGCCACCACUGCCCCGCCCCCCACCUUCGGCAGGCUGAAGACCUCCCCCAGCCGUGCCAAGCCUCCAUGUCUGGGCGAAGCUGAGCCCAGCUGGCACCGCAGUGGCCAAGCCUUGACGCAGAGCGUGAGGUUUGUUUGCAUUUUCUGUUUCUCGCGGCUCGGGCUCUCUGAGGAGCAGGAGGCGCUGGGGAAGCUGUCAUUUGCUAAACAAGCGUUCAUCUUCACGUCAAUCCCGAGAGGCAGGUGGAGCUGUCGCGUCAGAGUACGCGCUGUUGUGAGGCGCCAAGGCUGGCAGGGCACCACGCGGGAUUUGCACCGUCUCUCCAGGCACAGCUUCCAGCCAUUGACCGCCUGUCCGCUGCUGCCCUGUGCGCUCUGUCUGUCCCCAGCCUCCUCUCUCAGACAGGAUCUCAAAAAAGUGGCAUUGCCUCGGGAGGAAGGCGAACCCGGGCUUGGCUCUGUCACUUCCCUCCAUUCAACAAGUAUUAAUGAGUCUCCCUUACGCCCUUAGCACUGUUAGGGUCUGGGGAUAUAGUGAUAGAUACUGGGGUCUUGUGAACAGACAGCAAUGCCCGAAAGCUGGCGCUCUAGACGUCCCUUACUGCAGAAAGGGCUGUGUUGCUGGAUGAAGCUUGCAAUCUGUCACCACAGCCGUCUCGCUGACACUGACACCGGCCCCAGCAUUCGUCUCCCGCACGCGGCUACAGGCACAGCUGAAGACCAUCGGGCUUCUGGGAGGUGCUUCUGCUGGCUGGGCUGCCUCCCAGAGGGGGCCCCAGAAGAGACUGAGUUCCCUCGCCCCAGGCCUGGACUCUUUGCCCCAACUCGACAAUCAGAUUCGUCACUCUCUUUGUCUCCGGGGAGUGUGUGAGACGGGACCUCCACGGGGCAAAACGUGACUGAGCAAGUUCCCGCGGGGGGCACCUGCAGCUCUGUCCUGCUGCGGACGCCGGGAGGUGGUGAGGACCUCACACCUAAGAGUUAUCCUGUGGUGGGGGGCAGGGCAUUGGGGCACAGCGGGUUGCACUGAAGCCUGGGGCGCCAGCAUCUUUUAUGAGUGCUGGUUCGUUUCCGGCUGCCUCUUAAUACACCUGGGAAAGCAGUGCAAGAUGGCGAGAUGACUCACUCUUUGGGCUCCCGCCCCCUGUGUGGGAGAUUCGGAAGCAGUAACUGGCUCCUGGCUCCUGGCUCCUGGCUCCUGGCUCCUGGCUCCUGGCUCCUGGCUCCUGGUCUGGGCUAGCCCUGGCUGUUGCAGCCACGUGGGGAGUGAACUAGCAGAUGGAAAGAUGUCCUCUCUCUCUCUCUCUCUCUCUCUCUCUCUCUAAUUCUGCCUUUCUAAUAAAUAAAUCUUAAAGAAAAAAAGUUAUCCCAGCAGAGGGCCGCAGGAGCCCCAAGUCACUCAGCCCCUGGUGGGAACAGUCAGCUAUACCAGCCUAACCCAGGGCCGCCCAACAGCCUCGGGAGGCUGGAGAAAACCCCAGAGGCUGGCAUACAGCAGGCGCUCAGAAAAGGCUACUUCUGGUCAUCGUCGGCGCUGUAGGCAGCUCCGGGUAAGCCCAGCAGGUGGCGGUUGACCUGUGCCUCACCCUGACGCUUGAGGCGCACGGGCUGGAAGGAGGUGAUGUGAAUGACCGCGGAGAUGCUGACCCCGGGGCUCCCCACCUGCAACCUGGCGAAGACGAGGCUGGGCCGGGGAGCCAAGGAAGGAGCCUCUGCUCGGGACUUGAGGGGGAGCUAGACCCUGAGUGAAUCUCGCGGAGCCUCACUCCAGGUGGCACCUUUAGUUCCUAAGCCCCGGGGGGUUUCUGGCUGUGGGCCCCAAAUAACACCUUCCCUUGACACUACACACGUCAUAGCCUAGAUGGGCACACACAGGGCACCCCUGAGUAUCCACAAGUACAGGCAAACAUACACCCGCACACACAUCACUCUCUGACACACUCACACACGUGCACCUGCACCCACACAUGGUACAGGCAGUCCCCGACCCGCGACAGCUCCACUUAGGAUCUUUUCACUUUAUGCCGCCGUGAAAACAACACGCGUUUAAUUGAAACCAUACUUUGAAUGUUAACUUUGGCUCUUGUCCGGGCUGGCGUUGGACCAUCAGAUCUUGCCUGGCAAUGCUGGGCAAUGGCAGCGAGUGCAGGUGCCAGGAAGCCCUGACGUCACCAGGGGAGACCACCCACACUCCACAAUAUGCUGCGCUGCUGAGCUGGGACAGGUCCUGGGUUAAGGGAGUCCAUGUAUUCUCCGCUAUGAUGGUCUCAACUUCCGAUGGGUUUAUCUCCCAUUUACACACGGGUUCGUGCAUAGGCAAGCACACGGGCACACAUGCAUCGCCACACAUAGACUCUUCUGCUGGCCACUAGAUCCAACCAGGCAGGUAGGGUCUGAAAGGGCCUCUGUGAGCGUCCACUUCUCCCAUGGAGCCCCUGCUGGCUUCUGCCAUUUGUCCCCACAAAGGCUCAGCUCAGGAUCCAUCCAAAAUGACAAUCUUUCCCCUGAAACAUGACUGGGAUGCCCAGCAGCUGGUUGGGGGGUCCUUUCCCGUGGUGCAGGCCCCCCCCCAUUUUGAAGGAAAGGUAAGAAGGGUGCUCAGGGCCAGGCAGGGCUGUGUUACCAGCCAGGCCCACCCUGCUUGGGGGACACUAAGAGGCAGAUCGGGCCAGGAGUCCUGCCCCUUUUCUGCUACCAGACCAUGGUUGUGGCCUCAGUACAGGCAGACAAGCCCAGGCCUCAUCCAACAGACACUCCAGCGUUGCUCAGAAAGGACUCAUGGAUGGGGCCAGCGCUGUGGCAUAGCAGGUAAAGCCGCCACCUGCAGUGUCUGCAUCCCAUGUGGGCGCCGGUUCGAGUCUGGGCUGCUCCACUUCUGAUUCAGCUCUCUGCUGUGGCCUGGGAAAGCAGUAGAGGAUGGCCCAAGUGCUUGGGCCCCUGCACCCAUGUGGGAGACCGGGAAGAAGCUUCUGCCCCCUGGUGCAGCUCUGGCAAUGCGGCCAUCUGGGGAGUGAACCAGCAGAUGGAAGACCCCCCCCCCCAGCCUCUCUGUAA